Molecule: transfer RNA, 76 nt
Filed under: Nitrospirota bacterium
Lineage: Bacteria; Pseudomonadati; Nitrospirota
Description: Nitrospirae bacterium (groundwater metagenome) tRNA-Val
Rfam family: tRNA
About the family: Transfer RNA (tRNA) molecules are approximately 80 nucleotides in length.
Source: RNAcentral
GGACGAUUAGCUCAGUUGGUAGAGCACUACCUUCACACGGUAGGGGUCACUGGUUCGAGUCCAGUAUCGUCCACCA